Molecule: transfer RNA, 89 nt
Filed under: Gordonia phage Boopy
Lineage: Duplodnaviria; Heunggongvirae; Uroviricota; Caudoviricetes
Also listed under: 2 other names
Description: tRNA-Leu
Rfam family: tRNA
About the family: Transfer RNA (tRNA) molecules are approximately 80 nucleotides in length. Their secondary structure includes four short double-helical elements and three loops (D, anti-codon, and T loops).
Source: RNAcentral
AUCCUUGUGGAGCAGCGUUGUUCGGCCGAUUGAGAAUCGGUUAUCGAAUUGGGAUCGAGAGGUUGCGGGUUCAAAUCCCGUCCAGGUUC